RNAcentral lists this ribosomal RNA (151 nucleotides) under uncultured bacterium. RNAcentral's name for it is "partial 16S ribosomal RNA". It matches the Rfam family "Bacterial small subunit ribosomal RNA", at positions 1349 to 1500 of the family's 1533-position model. The record is from RNAcentral.
UCAGCAUGUCGCGGUGAAUACGUUCCCGGGCCUUGUACACACCGCCCGUCACACCAUGGGAGCCGGUAAUACCCGAAGUCAGUAGUCCAACCUCGUGAGGACGCUGCCGAAGGUAGGAUUGGCGACUGGGGUGAAGUCGUAACAAGGUAAC